CAAUUACAGAUUUUGCCUAACACAUGAACACUCUGUGGAAGAGUACAAGGAAGAAUGACAUGUUAUUCUUCUAAAUCAAGGCAAUUUGUGCACACGAGGACCACAGAAAUAUGAAACACCAAAUAUGUCAAGCCAGUGCAGAGUUGGUAGUCAAGACAGAGCACCUUCAAGAAUUCUACCUGCUGAGAACUGACUUGGCACUCAGCUCUUGGAGACACCCUGCAUGGCACUGCUCUCUGACUGAUGCACAGGCUGCAAUACUAUUUCAUGCCAAAGCAAGCACAGACAUCCAUUUAGUGUCCCUUUCUGACUUCACCAGAUAACGGAUGCAGAAACCUGCCUUGUAUCAUUAUUUUUUUUAAUCCAUAACCUCAGUUAUUUUCUGAGGAAACUGUUUUCCAGACUCCCUCACCCCACCCCAGUGUCAAGAAGCUAAUAACAAAAUAUUCAGGAAAAGCCUGCUUGAGACAGGAUGUUUCUUUUUCCCUUGCUCCAACACUGUCUUUCUCCUUAUGCCAAAUAAAACCCCAGUUCUUUCUCUCAUCCCCCACUUAUAUCUGAGCUCCUUCAUACCCAGAUCCUUUUAAAAACUUAAGCAGCUCGAAAGGCAGAAGAGCAUGAAAUGCUGCACACAACACGGUGAAUGACAUAAAUUGUGUAAACUUCUUAAGUCCAUUUGCUAGCCUAAUGUUUGCCUUACAGUAGACAGAGUGGCGUAGUAAGAGAAAGAGGAACUAACAUUGGCCCUCCAGAUGUUGUUGGUCUCCCAUUAGCUUUAACCAGAAUAUCCAAUGGUUAAGGGUGAUGGGAGUUAGCUGCCCUUGAGUUAAGAGACAUGAGCUCGGACCUUGGAGAUCUAGGUUAAAAUCCCCACAGUCACAAAGCUCAUUGGUUGAGUUUGCCCCAGUCCCAUUCUCUCAACCUAAACUAUUUCACAGAACUAUUGUGAGGAUGAAGGAAGGGGUGGGAGGAAGACCAACUUUUGAUUAAAUGGACAGCAGAUACUUACUGUGCUG
Podarcis muralis (Common wall lizard) is the source of this 1016-nucleotide long non-coding RNA. RefSeq lists it as uncharacterized. NCBI's taxonomy places the organism in Eukaryota, Metazoa, Chordata, Lepidosauria, Squamata, Lacertidae. The record is from RefSeq and is a predicted model, not a curated record.